AGCCCGGCAGACACCUUGGGAGCGAGGAGGGUAUUUUGGGGAGUUGCAGUGUUGUGCGGAAGAUCAUGUCUGUGCCCUGUGGUGCUGUCAGCGGUGACAGAUCCCAGAUGCAGCCGCUACUGUAUGGCAGAUUGAGUUUCUCAGCAGAAAACUCUCUCCCUCCCUCCCAAACGUCUUCAAAAACCUUCUCCAGAUACAGCGGGUCACUUCGGCUCAAAAGGGGAGAGAAAGGGGGGGGAGGAAAAAAGGCUUUCCCUCUCCCUCCUCCCUCUCUCUUCCUCCCGCCGGAUUUCUCGAGGGUGCGGGGGGGCCCAUAACAGGGCCCUUCCCCACCGGGGGGGCCCAGGCCUCCCCUCUCGCCCCCGGCCCGCUGCGAGCACGCCGCCGAGCACGGGGAGCCUCGUCCAGGAGGAGCCUGCCUUUUUACCUCGGGGUUCCUGGGAACCGCUGGGCAAAGCAGCCGCCGUGGCCGCUCCCUCCCUGCCCCACGGAUGGGAGCGAAGCCGCCGCCGGUCCGUCGCCCCGCCGCUGCCCCACGGACCCGGUCGGGCCGCGGCCCCGUGAGUACUCGAGGAGGAUUCGGAUUUAUUUUCUUCCCAGAGGAGCGUUUUUCUCUUUGUGCCUUCUGCCCGUGCCAGGACCACAAGUGGAUCAAGCGAGUCCUGCACUGUCGUAUUUACUGUAUAGCAAAACUCCCUUCGAGGACGAUUCUGCAGAUCUAAGGACUGAGGAGUCAGGACUGGGAACUAAGGAAAGGACAUGAAUAAUUUCUUUCACAGUUGGUUUAGAAAAAGCCAGCUUCUUUCUAUAGUUGUGCCAAAACUAAGAGGAGAUGGUCUGAGGUUAACAAACAUGAGAUAAUUUUCAUACCAAAUGUGAAAAAUGAGAAAUUGCUUUAACAUACAGUAACUUGCCAUUAAAAUAUGAUACGUGCUCCCUUCCAGAUUUAAAAUGAGACUUUAUAAACUCUACUGUCUUUGAUUUGUUAAGGCAACUUUAUAUUUAUUUCUUAAUUCAUAAGUAUGUGAGCAAACAUAAUAAAACUCUUGAUGUUUUUAUGAUCUUGAUUAGUGCUUCAUUGUAUAAGUAUUUGGUUAUUUAAGCAUACACCAAAUAUUGCACUGUAAAAUCUGUUGUGACUUAUUCAGUAACUUUUGGAAUUAGAAGAAAAAAGAUGACAGGAUUGCAAAAAUGGUAUUAAUUUUAUUUUAUUUCAUUUAAUAAAAAACUCAGUUGGCUGCACAGUCCUUUGCUUUAUAUUCUUAAUUAUUGUGUAUAUAUUUGAAGAAAAGUAUCUGUUGCAUAUCAUCUAUCUAAUGGUAAAAACUGAUGCUGUUAUUAAUAAGUUACUGAGAAAAAUAAACCUGCUUGCACUUUGAUUUCUAUCACUCCUGGUGAGUGAUUCUUCUGGAAUAAACAUAGCUCUAACACAUGUAAACAAUGCAGGAAAUUAAUAACAAAAUUCUUUGGAUUUAUUUCAGAUGCCACAUACUUUUUGUAAAUAUAUGCGGCUUUCAAUGAUUUUCCAGUAAGUAAUAAACUUUGCUC
Molecule: long non-coding RNA, 1548 nt
Organism: Tyto alba (common barn owl)
Lineage: Eukaryota; Metazoa; Chordata; Aves; Strigiformes; Tytonidae
Exons: 3
Source: RefSeq, a predicted model, not a curated record